This is a small nucleolar RNA of Dendrobium catenatum, 107 nucleotides long. The record is from RefSeq and is a predicted model, not a curated record. Lineage: Eukaryota; Viridiplantae; Streptophyta; Magnoliopsida; Asparagales; Orchidaceae.
AGGGCAUGAUGAGAACAUUUUCUAAGAAGUUUCCUAAAUCUUUCUCACGAUUCAAAAAUAGAUUCAUCAUCUAACUGGGUAAAAGAAGUAAUGUUGUUUCUAAGUUU